CGCUGGCGGCAGGCCUAACACAUGCAAGUCGAGCGGAUGAGUGGAGCUUGCUCCAUGAUUCAGCGGCGGACGGGUGAGUAAUGCCUAGGAAUCUGCCUAUUAGUGGGGGACAACGUUUCGAAAGGAACGCUAAUACCGCAUACGUCCUACGGGAGAAAGCAGGGGACCUUCGGGCCUUGCGCUAAUAGAUGAGCCUAGGUCGGAUUAGCUAGUUGGUGAGGUAAUGGCUCACCAAGGCGACGAUCCGUAACUGGUCUGAGAGGAUGAUCAGUCACACUGGAACUGAGACACGGUCCAGACUCCUACGGGAGGCAGCAGUGGGGAAUAUUGGACAAUGGGCGAAAGCCUGAUCCAGCCAUGCCGCGUGUGUGAAGAAGGUCUUCGGAUUGUAAAGCACUUUAAGUUGGGAGGAAGGGCAGUAAGUUAAUACCUUGCUGUUUUGA
This 443-nucleotide ribosomal RNA is filed under the name Stutzerimonas stutzeri. Its description in RNAcentral is "bacterial SSU rRNA". It matches the Rfam family "Bacterial small subunit ribosomal RNA", at positions 34 to 472 of the family's 1533-position model. Lineage: Bacteria; Pseudomonadati; Pseudomonadota; Gammaproteobacteria; Pseudomonadales; Pseudomonadaceae. The record is from RNAcentral.